Molecule: long non-coding RNA, 202 nt
Filed under: Elaeis guineensis (African oil palm)
Lineage: Eukaryota; Viridiplantae; Streptophyta; Magnoliopsida; Arecales; Arecaceae
Description: long non-coding RNA (EGUI_LNC078691)
Source: RNAcentral
UGCUCUUGCAGAGAAAAGUCAAGCUUACUUAAGCGUUCAAUCAUCUCGAUCAUAUACAGUACAUAAUCGGUGAUUGACGCUCCUUCCCUUAUUCGAGCGUUGAAGAUGGCACAACUAGUCUUGUGCUUCUCAACAUUAUCGAGUGUGCCAAAAGACUUGUUCAAUAUUUGAAACAUAUUCUGUGGCUGAGCAUUCUUGAAAU